UCUAACUUUUCUCUGUUGUAUGAGAUUUCUGCUCUGAUUUAUGUUAAAACUCUUAUCACUGUUUGCAUUGUGAAGUCAUUAAGCUGUUUAUUGUCCGUGUGUUUGUUCUUAAUUAUAUUGCUUUAAGUUUUUCCUUCUAAUUGCUAAAAGAAAAUCAUAUCUUUAAAGUCCCUGAGGUGCGUAAAAGAGAUGUUGCAGAAGAGAAAGUACCAGCCGUUGUUCCCAAGCCCAAAGAACCACCUCCAAGUAAAGUGCCUGAAAUACCCAAGAAACCCAUUCGGAAAGUCCCUGCUCCGGCUCCUGCUCCUGUUCCUGCAGCAGAGAAAUAUGAAUAUGCAUAUGAAGAGUAUGAGAAGUAUGAGACGUAUGAAAGUAUUGAAGAAUUUGAGGGGGUUCAGGAAACUGAAGAAAUUGAAGCAUAUGAGGAACCUGAAUUACCUGAGAGAUACAGAGAAAUCCAGGAACAGGAGUAUGAACUGGAGGCUGAAGAGAAAGAAGAUAUCUAUGAGAAGUAUGAGUUUAGGGAGAAAGAAGAAAUCUAUGAGAAAUAUGAGGAAGCAUAUCAGGAAACUUAUGAAAUCCCACCAGCUAUAGGUACAUCAUGUCAUGAUUUCUUUAUUGUUAUUAUUGCUGUUUAAGAUUCCAGCUACUGCUUAAGCCUCCUUCUUUUUAUUUAUCCCGUUUGUACUACUCUGUCUGUCUGCAGCUGAUGAUAAAUCCAUUCCCUAUUACUAAGGAAUUCUCUCCAGAGUGGAAUGGAAAGAUUGAACCAGUGUAGAUGUGAUACAAACAAAGUAAAUGAUACUUUUCUGAUGCAAUUCAGCUUCAGUCUGGAUCUCAAUACUAUUAUGUAUCAAUGUGUUUCUUUUGUACAUUUUAGUUCCAAUGAAUGAUGGAGCUGUUAAAAUUCAAGCAAAGCUUUCCUUCUUAUCUUUUGUAUGUGUGAUCAUAAGAUCAUAGGAUCCACCAUGCCAAUCAAAACUGUAUCUGAAAUGUACCAGAAAGAUGUACACUUAUAUUCCUUAGCUACCAUCAAGUUCUGAGACUAGUGGCUGUUCUCUUGACAGCAUAGAUAAUUAUUCUAAAUUAAGUGAUUAUUCUGCUUUCUGACUUUGUAUCUGUUGUAUCUUCCUCAAAACUAACUUAAAAUCCGUAUUGAAAUAUUUCUUAAAGAACCUGAGGUGCCUAAAAGACCUCUGCCAGAAGAAAAAGUACCUGUUCCUGUUCCAAAAAAAGAAGCUCCGCCAGCUAAAGGUACAUGAGCUUUAAGAGGAAUUUGAAAACGCAGUCUUCUGUCUUCUCAGAAUCCCCAAAAGCAGUAAAUUACCUAUUCUGAUUCGGCAAAUACCUAAUUUUUUUCUCAGUACUGUCAAAGACUGGGAUUAAGGUACUUAAUUAUUAAAGAUGAAUACUUAUUUAACAAAUCAAAACUUGGACAAAUUCUUUCUGAGGGCAAAGGCAUUUGGAGGAGGACCUCCAAGAUUUAAUUUUUGCCUGUCAGAGUAUUAACAACAUUUCAUAUCUAAGUAUUGAAAACAAGUAGAUGUAUAAAUUAAAAGAAGUCUAUCAAGCAGUCAAACCAUUUUCCCACAGAAUCCCAGAAGACAAUUACUUUCUUCAACCUAACUAUAUGCUGGAGUGGAUUUGAUAUUGAUAUGUGUUCUCAGUGUCAGUCUCCACAAAGACUGUGUUAUGAACAGCAAUGAUCAGCGCACGUUAGAAGAGUUCCUGUUGUAAUUCAGAGUUCUUUACUUUUCUCUUCAGAGCUCUUAAUUUGUGAGAAACUCACCCUGUGGUCAGUUUUUUAUUAAGGCCAAUCCCACUCUAUUGAGUUUACCAAACAGCUGUGUGAAUCCAUGCAAAACACAUGAGGAGGAUAGCUCUUAAGGCUACCACUCAAUAGCAACCAAAGGCACUCUAUUUUGUGUUUUUCUAAUUCUAACUGUUCUUUUCUGACUCAUUGCACUGUUUGCAUUUUUUUUAAUGCUUAUUCUUAUGUACUGUUACUACUGCAAAAAUUCUUAAAAACGUUACAAAUGUCUUUAAAGUGCCAGCACUGCCAAAGAAACCUGUUCCAAAGGAGAAAGUACCCGCUGUUCCUAAAAAGGAAACGGUUCCACCAGCUGAAGGUAUAUUUCCUCUGUGUUGUCCUCAUUGAGUCAUGAACUCUGAUUUCAGUCUUUUGUUUUCAUUAUUCGUUGAGAAAUACGUAUCUGUGUUUUAUGUCUCUGUGAAGCUCUACUCAGUUGUUUGUGAUUGAGUCAUUUUCGGCCUGUUUGUUUUCAAGUCAUUUGUUGAAAAGACAUGAGUGUUGCUUUGAAAAAUAUGUGCCUCAUUCUUUAAGUUCAGAAGUAAGAGUAGUUUUGGUCUUCCUGAAAAGGACGUAGAUUCCAUCAGCUAAAACUAAGUCUGUCUUUCAAGAAAAUGUUUUAAGUAUGUUAUUCUUCUGUCUAAUCUUCAGAAUUAACAUAAAUAUUCUGUCAAGAAGCAUUUAAUCCUUCGUUGCUUCAUGAAUCUGUCUUAGAUUUGCUUUU
Molecule: long non-coding RNA, 2534 nt
Organism: Lagopus muta (rock ptarmigan)
Lineage: Eukaryota; Metazoa; Chordata; Aves; Galliformes; Phasianidae
Exons: 2
Source: RefSeq, a predicted model, not a curated record